UUUUGAAGAGAGCCUUCUGACCCUCGUAGCCAAAGUCAACACCUGUAUACAGUACAAACUAGUCACACAAAUAUCAACAGACAUGACAUGAGGACGACGCACUUUCUCUGUCUCCCUGCCCUCCCUAUCUUCCCUGCUCAACGUCUGUGUCCUGAAUUUUUAGAGUCUUCUUUGUAGCUUCCGAAGUUGCAAAUUAUGGAUCUGGUCAGCUGGUCUCUCAACGUAAUUGAUUAAAAAAAAAUUCCACUGGGAAACCGGGUAAAGGGAGUCCUGACAGUGUCCUCGUGUCCUGACAGAACAUUCUUCGCUGGGUACACGAUGGAUUCUGGAUGGAAGUGGAAGACAGUUUGUCUGACGACACUGUCAGUCGAGGAUGUUGAAGAUGUGUACAUGAUUGAUAACAGGUUUUCUGCUUAUCGGAGUUGGCGGCUACCUGGCUUAUUGGAAAUUUUGGAAGAACCGUACCCAAGGCUGCCGGGUACGGUUGAUGGGAUCUGCAGAGUGAUCAACACUCAGACUGAGAGGAUACAGGAGCCUCAGCUCAGUCUAUGGCUCACCAUAGACUGGGUGCAAUCCCGGAACAGGACCGUGGCCGGACAGCAGAUUUCGGACUCAGAAUGGGUAUGGUGUGACCUUAGGGAACGUUGUUCGCUCAGAUCAGGCGAGAGACCCUAAAAUUUGGCUGUUUGGAUUUGCCAUUGAGAAGCACCAGCGAGAUUCUUUCAAAGUAAACUGAUGUCAGUCUGACCUAAACAAAUUUCUGCUAUUGGAAUCUGGCUUCCUGGGCUGGCCUUCGCUGGCCAGCUAUCCUCCCCUGGUUGUUAUGUCUAAAGGAGGCUCUGUUCUGCUGCCCCUCCCCUCCCUGAGAACAUCUGUGGACCCUGAACUGAUAAGCUGGGGGUGAACUCUGACAUCAUACUCACAGACAAUCACAUGCUUCAGUUAGGGUUCAUGGUCUGACACACACAUAACUCACAUGAGACUCAUAUGCACAUCACACCUCCUCCUCGUACCCAGCUUGUUUUGUCUAUUUGUGUUUAUAUGUGCUUAUGUGCCGAGGUUUUUUUCUGCAUCUCAAACUGCCCUGCAAAAAGCAGAGUUUGAGACAGGCUGUGUUUUUUCCCUCUCCUUACCUGAUGUUUUCCUUGUUUUUUCUAUUUGAUCUGCAAGGCGGCGCCUGUCGGGCUGCAAGGCCUCAGUCAACUAUCCCCCCUCUCUCACUCCCCCCCUGUUGUUGUGUAAUAGAUGGUUGUACUGGAACUGCAAUUUUGUUGUCUUUCUGACAAUGACAAUAAAAUUCUUCUGAUCCUUAUACAUCAA
Poecilia reticulata (guppy) is the source of this 1320-nucleotide non-coding RNA. The record is from RefSeq and is a predicted model, not a curated record. NCBI's taxonomy places the organism in Eukaryota, Metazoa, Chordata, Actinopteri, Cyprinodontiformes, Poeciliidae.